GAGGUGGUGCAAGCCUUUGAUCCCAGCACUUGGGAGGCAGAGGCAGGUGGAUCUUUUGAGUUGAAGGACAGCCUGGUUUGCCUAGAGAGUACCAGACUAGCCAGGGCUACACAACGAAACCGUGUCCUGAAAAGA
Molecule: non-coding RNA, 135 nt
Organism: Peromyscus maniculatus bairdii (prairie deer mouse)
Lineage: Eukaryota; Metazoa; Chordata; Mammalia; Rodentia; Cricetidae
Source: RefSeq, a predicted model, not a curated record